UGACACAAUUUGGUUAUAAUUUAUGUUGGC
RNAcentral lists this non-coding RNA (30 nucleotides) under Mus musculus (house mouse). The record is from RNAcentral. Lineage: Eukaryota; Metazoa; Chordata; Mammalia; Rodentia; Muridae. RNAcentral also lists the same sequence under 1 other name.